RNAcentral lists this unclassified non-coding RNA (351 nucleotides) under Klebsiella pneumoniae subsp. pneumoniae. RNAcentral's name for it is "partial 16S-23S ribosomal RNA intergenic spacer". The stretch from base 239 to 344 matches the Rfam family "Salmonella enterica Typhi npcRNA 44". The record is from RNAcentral. Lineage: Bacteria; Pseudomonadati; Pseudomonadota; Gammaproteobacteria; Enterobacterales; Enterobacteriaceae.
CCUUAAAGAACCUGCCUUUGUAGUGCUCACACAGAUUGUCUGAUAAACGUAAAGAAGCAAGGCGUCUUGCGAUUGAGACUUCAGUGUCCCCUUCGUCUAGAGGCCCAGGACACCGCCCUUUCGCGGCGGUAACAGGGGUUCGAAUCCCCUAGGGGACGCCACUUGCUGGUUCGUGAGUGAAAGACGCGUGCCGAUGUAUCUCAAAACUCAUCUUCGGGUGAUGUUUGAGAUAUUUGCUCUUUAAAAAUCUGGAUCAAGCUGAAAAUUGAAACGACACACAGCUAAUGUGUGUUCGAGUCUCUCAAAUUUUCGCGACACGAUGAUGUUUUACGAAACAUCUUCGGGUUGUGA